Molecule: ribosomal RNA, 253 nt
Filed under: uncultured bacterium
Lineage: Bacteria
Description: partial 16S ribosomal RNA
Rfam family: Bacterial small subunit ribosomal RNA
Source: RNAcentral
UACGUAGGGGGCAAGCGUUGUCCGGAUUUAUUGGGCGUAAAGAGCGUGUAGGCGGCCAGACAGGUCAGCUGUGAAAACUCGAGGCUCAACCUCGAGACGUCGGUUGAAACCGUCUGGCUAGAGUCCGGAAGAGGAGAGUGGAAUUCCCGGUGUAGCGGUGAAAUGCGCAGAUAUCAGGAGGAACACCAAUUGCGAAGGCAGCUCGCUGGGACGUUACUGACGCUGAGACGCGAAAGCGUGGGGAGCAAACAGG